AUGAUUCAUGUGCAUAACUAUUGAUUAUUGUUCAGUUCAUGAUUUCUUUUUGGGUUAGUAGUUACAUAUUUUGUUGGAACUGUUGUCAACUGGCGCACCUUGGCUCUGAUAGGAACUAUUCCAUGUCUUGCACAGCUUAUAGGUUUAUUAUUAUUCCUGAAUCUCCAAAAUGGCUGGAAAAUUCAGUUCAAAUGGAAUGUAUCACCUUGAGUAAUGGCGAAGCUGAUGGUUCCUUUGAAUUUGAAGAUUUCCAGCCUGCAUCUCUAAACACUACUAAGCAGCUUAUUGGAGACUUAAAUAACAUCGAUAUAGUCUUCCAUAUUGGAGAUAUAGUCUAUGCUAUGGGUUAUAUUGCACAGUGGGCCAGUUCACUGCACAGAUUGAGCCAAUUGCAUCAACUAAGCCAUUCAUGAUUGGAAGUGGUAACCAUGAGCGUGACUGGCCAGGAAUUGGAUCCUUCUACCAGAACAUGGAUUCAGGAGGAGAGUGUGGUUUGUUAGCCAAGAACAUGUUUUAUGUCCCCACUGAGAAUAGGGCUAAUUUCUGGUACUCCACUAACUAUGGCAUGUUCCGAUUCUGCGUAGCUCACACUGAACUUGAUUGGAGAGAGGGAUCAGAGCAAUAUAGUUUAUCAAGACCCUCGCAUUAGUUGACAGACAAAGACAACCAUGGCUAAUCUUUCUUGCACAUAGAGUACUAGGUUAUUCUUCUGUGGGCUUUUAUGUGGAAGAAGGAUCGUUUGAGGAACCAAUGGGAAGGGAGGACCUCGGAAAACUUUGGCAGAAGUACAAGGUUGACAUUGCCCUCUAUGGCAGCAGUACAAUUAUGAAAGAUCAUGCCCGGUCUACGAGAAUAUCUGCACCAGUCAAGAGAAACACAACUAUAUAGGCCCCUUGAAGGGAACGAUUCAUGUGAUUGCUGGAGGAGGAGGAGCAAGCCUUCAUGAAUUUGCUCCCAUCAAUACCACGUGGAGUAUAUAUAAAGACUAUGAUAACGGAUUCGUCAAACUUACCGCAUUUGAUCAUUCACACCUUUUGUUUGAAUACAAGAAGAGCAGGGAUGGAAAAGUGUAUGACUCUUUCACAAUCUAUCGAGAUUAUAGGGACAUCUUGACCUGUACUGUUGAUAGUUGCCCAGAAGUUACACUAGCACAGUAGUAUCUUGGUACAGAUAUAAGGGAAAUUUUUGUUGAUGAGUGUUCAUUAAUGUUGUGUGUGCUAGCAGUUCCUCAUCAUGUUCUGCUGCUUUAAUAUUUAUUAUUUUGAUUAAUCAAGUCUAAGAAACUGAGCCU
This is an RNA transcript of Quercus lobata, 1291 nucleotides long. It is a transcript of the gene named probable inactive purple acid phosphatase 1, with no coding region annotated. The record is from RefSeq and is a predicted model, not a curated record. The transcript is spliced from 6 exons. Lineage: Eukaryota; Viridiplantae; Streptophyta; Magnoliopsida; Fagales; Fagaceae.